AAAAGCAAUUUGCAUGUCGAUAAUGUUUCUUCAUCGCUAAAAAUGAAUUCUGCAGUUAUUGCGUUGUUUGUGUGCCUUGGGAUUUUCAUCACAGGAAGCGUUGGUCGUCCUCGUUGUCCACCAUGGAUGAUACCGCGGCCUCCUUGUUUUUUCGAUCCAUGUAAGGAUUAUCGUUGCCACAAUCCACCCAAUCUUACGUGCAGGAGAGACUCUUGUGACGAUUGCCGCAAGAAAUGGUUCAACGACAACGGUGUAGAAACAAAAUGUGACAGUGAAGUAUCGUACUGAGGGAACAUUCAUUCGGCUAGAGACGUUGCAAAUAUGGAUUAUGUCAAGAAAUAUGUUAUUGAUAUGUAAUGGAGUUAAAUGAAAUUGAGCUGGUUGUAAAUGGUGUCAUUGUAAUAUUUUUCUAAAUAAAUAUACUAUUUAUGCAGUUCGACAACUAUAUACACAGUUUUAUGAUCUUCCAAUACGAACGUAUGUCAUCAAUAUUUAACUGUAUAUGCGUUUUUUGCUUAUAGUCAGAAUAUUCUCUGAACAUUUAUGCACGUCAUUUUUAAUAUAUAAUAAUUGCAUACCAAUAUGAAAAUAUUUGAAGUUUUACAAUUGUAUUUAAUGCACCGACAUACAUUUUGUUCAAAUAAGAGGAUGUAAUAGUUUAUAGCAAGUAUUUAUACAUCAAUUAUUGUUGAAUACGUGG
This is a long non-coding RNA of Dreissena polymorpha, 700 nucleotides long. RefSeq lists it as uncharacterized. The record is from RefSeq and is a predicted model, not a curated record. Lineage: Eukaryota; Metazoa; Mollusca; Bivalvia; Myida; Dreissenidae. The transcript is spliced from 3 exons.